This 18-nucleotide small nuclear RNA is filed under the name Arabidopsis thaliana (thale cress). RNAcentral's name for it is "snRNA_09603". Lineage: Eukaryota; Viridiplantae; Streptophyta; Magnoliopsida; Brassicales; Brassicaceae. The record is from RNAcentral.
GUCAGGUGGGGAGUUUGG